GUCCACGCCGUAAACGAUGAAUACUAGGUGUCGGGGCCCACAGGGCUUCGGUGCCGCAGCAAACGCAUUAAGUAUUCCACCUGGGGAGUACGUUCGCAAGAAUGAAACUCAAAGGAAUUGACGGGGACCCGCACAAGCGGUGGAGCAUGUGGUUUAAUUUGAAGCAACGCGGAGAACCUUACCAAGCCUUGACAUCCUGCUGACCGUCCCUUAGCCGGGGCUUCCCUUCGGGGCAGCAGAGACAGGUGGUGCAUGGUUGUCGU
RNAcentral lists this ribosomal RNA (263 nucleotides) under uncultured bacterium. RNAcentral describes it as "partial 16S ribosomal RNA". It matches the Rfam family "Bacterial small subunit ribosomal RNA", at positions 793 to 1055 of the family's 1533-position model. The record is from RNAcentral.